AGGGUUUGAUUAUGGCUCAGAACGUACGCUGGCGGCACGCCUAACACAUGCAAGUCGAACGAAGAGCAAUACUUAGUGGCGAACGGGUGAGUAUAAUGUGGGUAUCUGCCUUUUGGUUUGGAAUAACACGGGGAAACUUGUGCUAAUACCGGAUAAGCCUUCACAGGGAAAGCUUUAGCGCCAAAAGAUGAGCCCGCACUUGAUUAGCUAGUUGGUAAGGUAAUGGCUUACCAAGGCUACGAUCAAUAGCUGAUCUGAGAGGAUGAUCAGCCACAUUGGGACUGAGACACGGCCCAGACUCCUACGGGAGGCAGCAGUGGGGAAUCUUGCACAAUGGGGGAAACCCUGAUGCAGCGAUGCCGCGUGAGUGAAGAAGGCCUUUUGGGUUGUAAAGGCUCUUUUCGUCCGGGGAAGAAAAAUGACUGUCCCCGAAUAAAGAAGGUCCGGCUAACUUCCGUGCCAGCCCCCCGCGUAAUAC
This 478-nucleotide ribosomal RNA is filed under the name uncultured bacterium. RNAcentral describes it as "bacterial SSU rRNA". It matches the Rfam family "Bacterial small subunit ribosomal RNA", at positions 8 to 526 of the family's 1533-position model. The record is from RNAcentral.